RNAcentral lists this ribosomal RNA (193 nucleotides) under uncultured Banisveld landfill bacterium BVC58. Its description in RNAcentral is "partial 16S ribosomal RNA". The record is from RNAcentral.
AUUACCGCGGCUGCUGGCACGUAGUUAGCCGGUGCUUCUUCUUCAGGUACCGUCAGUGAUGCAGGGUAUUGGCCCGCACCGUUUCGUUCCUGCUGAAAGAGCUUUACAACCCGAAGGCCUUCUUCACUCACGCGGAAUGGCUGGAUCAGGUUUCCCCCAUUGUCCAAAAUUCCCCACUGCUGCCUCCCGUAAG